UACCAGCACCCCGAGUGGUCGGGACGAUUAUUGGGCCUAAAGCAUCCGUAGCCGGUCCUGCAAGUCUUCCGUUAAAUCCAGCUGCUCAACAGAUGGGCUGCGGGGGAUACUACAGGGCUAGGAGGCGGGAGAGGCAAGCGGUACUUUAUGGGUAGGGGUAAAAUCCGUUGAUCCAUAGAAGACCACCAGUGGCGAAGGCGGCUUGCCAGAACGCGCUCGACGGUGAGGGAUGGAAAGCUGGGGGGAGCAAACCGG
This 255-nucleotide ribosomal RNA is filed under the name uncultured bacterium. RNAcentral's name for it is "partial 16S ribosomal RNA". It matches the Rfam family "Archaeal small subunit ribosomal RNA", at positions 474 to 727 of the family's 1478-position model. The record is from RNAcentral.